UACGUAGGGGGCAAGCGUUGUCCGGAAUCAUUGGGCGUAAAGAGCGUGUAGGCGGCCCGAUAAGUCCGUCGUGAAAGUCCAGGGCUCAACCCUGGGAUGCCGGUGGAAACUGUCGGGCUAGAGUCCGGAAGAGGCGAGUGGAAUUCCCGGUGUAGCAGUGAAAUGCGUAGAGAUCGGGAGGAACAUCAGUUGCGAAGGCGGCUCUCUGGACCAGCACUGACACUGAGGCACGAAAGCGUGGGGAGCAAACAGG
This 253-nucleotide ribosomal RNA is filed under the name uncultured bacterium. RNAcentral's name for it is "partial 16S ribosomal RNA". It matches the Rfam family "Bacterial small subunit ribosomal RNA", at positions 524 to 776 of the family's 1533-position model. The record is from RNAcentral.